CACCAGCCUGCGGCCUGGGUGUCCUCUGUCCCUCCACCCCCACCCUAUCGCUAACCAGCUCCAGCCGCUUACCUAUGCCUAGAGGGUGCAGUCCCCAGCCCCUUUCACUGGAGGACACUCUGCUGCCUCCAGGAAGUUCUAUGCAGAUGCUUCCCCUGCUCCACCUGCAGCUGCACCGGAGAGCCAGGAAAGAGUGGGGAAACAUGUUCGAGGUUCUGCAGCUCAUUCCAACUAGGAGCAAUGGCCAGAUCCUCAGCUGGUGUGAACCAGCAUCGGUGCUACACUGAUUUACACCAGCUGAAGAUUUGGACCAAAAUCCCAGCCAGUAAGGGAUAUGUGCCGGCUAACACAGCCGUAUGCCAGCUCAUGCCUAUGGGCCUUCAUUGGUUUCAAACAAACUUCCCACAUGAGUAUUCCUCCAAUGCAGGAAGCCUGGGCAUUGUCCACUCCCAGCUAGGAAAGCUUUUAGUGGCAUUGUCUACACAAAGACUGAGUGCGUGGCCAGCUGGGGUGUGAAUCUACAGCCUGCCGCACACUAAGGGGCUGGGUGGACCCUGCUACCAAGCACUAAAAUUUCCCUAGUGCACUUUGGCACCUUGCUGCUUGAAAUUCCAACUUGCCACGCGCUAGGUCUCGGAAUAGACACGCCCACAUGCUUCUUAUUUCAUUUGCAAGGCUAGACCUUGAAGUCAGCCUCUAAACCUUUAGCCCCUGCAGUCAAUUACAGGUGCAAAACUGCCAGAGCAAAUGACAGAACCAGCGUACGGCUCCAGAACCAGUUGUCAUUGCCUGCCUGACUUUAAAAGAUGCUGAGUUCCCACAGGGCACCUCUGCAAAUCAGACCCCAGAUAUCUAAGUGUUGUCAUUUGUAUAUGGAAUUAUUAAUGAUGUGUAUUGCAGUAGCACCUAGGAGCCUUAGUCAUGGACCUCUUGUGUUAGGCGCUGUAUGAACACAGAACAAAGAGAGGCCCUGCCCCAAAGAGAUGGGGCACAACUAAUCAGAUGGCCCUGCCAUCUGAUUAGUUGUGCUACAUUUAACAGGACGACUCCUGGGAAAGCAAUGAGCUGCCCUAGCCCCUGACUGCCCUUGGUGCUGGCCUUCCCUUCCCAGGGCACUGCAUUCUCUAGCAUUAUUGUAUCAUAACAGCUUCAAGGAAUUUGAGCUAUCCGAGUGGGCCACUUCUCGCCUGGGCUACGAGUGUCUCCUCGCAUCGCCUCCUCCGCUUUGCCUGUCCCCGCGGUGCAUCCCAAUCCCUGGCUCUGCUUUGACGAUGGCACUGUCUGCUCAAUGCCUUUGCCAGUUGUCCCUCCUACGGCCGUGCUGGGAACGUGGCAAAGCAUCUGCGCUCCUUCUCUGCUUGAGGGUGUCCCCUCUCUUCCUUCUCUUGCUGGGAUGUGUGCUGAUCUAGAAUGGACUAAAAACUCUCCCCGACUAGUAACAGCGGUGAGAUAUUGACCCGUCCUACUGUCUUGGCUAUGCAGGGUCAUUUGGAUCCCUGGCUUGUACCUUAUGCAGCAAUGGAAUUGCACUGGGUUUAAGUCUAAGGCAUUGCACAGGGUCUAAGUCUAGGCAGGAUUUGUCCUGAGAUCCCUUAAUUAUGCCAUGGUGGUGAAUCAUCUUUGAUACAUGUAGCCAUUCAGCUGCCUACGCUCCUUGGGUUGGGUCUCCUUCCUUUAAAGCAGACAGGGAAUGUUGGGACAGUUCCAGUGAAAACCAUUACCUGCUUAUUUCCUGUGUGGUGUGUGUCUUUCUCUUCUUUCCUACACCAAUGCCUUGGAAGCAGUGUUAGCUUUUGGAAAUCCUUUAUCCGCGUCUUUAAAAAAACCAAACUCCUGGGUGAGCUCUCCAGCUGAUGUAAAUCAGCGUAGCUCCAUGGAAGACCAGCUGAGGGGCUGGCUCAAGGACCCCAAUUCAUUUUUGUUUAGGACGGGUUUUAAGUCUGGGCAGGAUUUGUCCUGAGGUCCCUUCAUUACGUUGCAGCUGCAAAUCGUCUUUGAUACAUUUCAUACAUGUUUAGGACAUGGUUAUCUUUAAGCGCAUGCUGAAGUCCCAGUGAAGUCCAAGCGACUGAAGGACGUGUUUAAAGGGAAGCACAUACUUCUUGAAUAGGGAUGGAUUUAAGCAUAUGCCUAAGAGCAUUCCUGAAUUGGGGCCAAAGAAAGUAGAGCAAUGAUGACAAACUCCUUGAAUCCCCAAUGGAUUCCUCAAGGUCCUGGCCCCUUCAAGCCAUCUGCCUGAGCAGUUUUGCCCUCAAAGCUCAGAGAAUUUCCUACAGCUCCUGAUGAGCACCCUGCCCCAUCCCAUGCUGCCACAGGAGACGUUCCAAGGAACCCAUCCAACAGGGCUUCUGCAGCUCCUAUAGCACCAUCACGUUGCUUGUUAAUCAAAGCCUUCUGCAGCGGCUGGAAUGAAUGAAGAGCCAAUGGACGGGCUGCGGGUAUGGUAUUUUUGUUUUAUUUUUUUAAAUGAAAACAAGGCAAGUAAGGUAAUCUGGCCUGGCCCAGCCGACAGGAAUCGCCACCAUCCAACACAGAACAACCUCAGAUAAACUUCAGCAGCUGAUCAUCCAGCAGGAUUGCCGAGGCAUCCGGGUCACAGCAAGAUGAAGCUGGAGGACACAAAGAGAACUGGAUUCCCUAUUUGGUGUAUCACCCCUAUUUACAACCAGAAUAUUCUAUUGUUACAGUCCAACACCAGGCAGGGCCAACUAUGAGCAGCUCCCAGAUGUUUGUUUGGCUGGCUGGUCUCCUCUCUAAAUGUAUUCUUAUACCCUUGGUCCUCUCUGGAGUUCUUGGGCCACUCAUGCUCCAGAUUCAGGCGGGAAGCAAAGCCUGGCCACCACUGUCCGGUUGCACAGGAAGGAACCCUCCCAUCUUUGUGACUGAGUCAUGUUCCUCACCUCCUGCGCUACUUUGGGAGCUGGGGAUAAGCAGAGGCAGCUGGCAGGAGGCAGAUCACUCUGGAUUCUACCUGAGAAAACGCUGUCUGGGACCAGAACUAAUGGCAUGGGUUAAUGUGGGUGCGUAAGUUAGACAAGUAAACGAGAUCAGCAAGAGAGAGAGCCGUGGUGGAACAGCAGCUGUUGACCACCCGAACAGAAGACAUUGGCUGGAAUGUCCUAUUCCUUAGCAGGUGCUGCAGAGUCUUGGUGCUUAUCUAACCACGCUUAAGGAACCAUUUCCACUGGAGCUGCCAGUGUCAGUGCUCAGUGGUGCCUCAAGACCACAGCCGAGAUCAGGGCCGUGCUGUGCAUAUACAUAGUGAGCAACAGUCCUUGCACAAAGAGCUCACCACCUAGACAAGGCUGACAAAGGGUGGGAGGGGAAACAAGAGGCCGAGAGAGGGGAAGUAUCUUGCCCAAGGUCACACAAACAGGUCAGUGGCAGAGCUGGUAAAUAGAACCCAGGUCUCCUGGCUGCCAGUCCAGUACACUAUCUGCGUCACCGUGCUGCCUCUUGACCUGUCCUACAGCCAAAGAAAUUGCCCAUAAAGAUCAUCUAACCUUCCCGGCUGGAAGCCCAUGGGGAGCCCUAAGUAACCAGCCUUCCUACACAUGCUCCAAAGCCUGGAGACAACGUCGCCUUUCAGGGAGUUCUGCUAUGUGCAGGGGCAGGUCCUUCCCGUAAUAAUUGCAGCCAGGGUUCAGCGGAGCAGAGGUAAGUGGGCAGGCGGGAGGAUCUCCACACACCAUCCUGUUCCAGGUGCCCAAAGUGCAAACAACGAAACCUCAAAUAUGGUCUUCCAAAACCUCCUCCAAAUUAACACUCUGCAAACCGUGGGCAGUUCCUGUGCCUUCUCAGUUAUCUAUCUGGAGGGCUAUCCCCCACGAUGCUCAUGUCCCCCACAGGAACAAUGUGGAAUUUGUAUUGGCUUUUAGCAGGCGACAGCUAGUGAAGACUUUAUUUGACUGAUAGCUUGAAAGGGCCAAUUUGCUCCCAAUACUCCCUUGUCUCAAACCUCUCUGGAGUCUGCCAGCCCACCUCUGCCUCCUUGCAUUCUCCUCUAUGCAGAGCUAAAGCUGUGUUAGGCCAGCGAAUGUAGGAUAACAUGGGAAAGGAGGAGAUGCUUCUGCCCUGAAAGGAACACUCCCCCAAGCGCCUUUAGGGGGUGCUGCACCAGAAAGUUCCUCCCGACUGGCCCAUUCAUCACUUAAUGCUGGAGCUAAAGUUUGCUUUCAAGAGCCAGAGGGAAAGGGCGGGGUGUGACUCCGUGGGCUCCGGUAGAUCUUGACGCCUUUCCCUUGUGCUGUGCCUCUCCUGUAGUUUGGCAGCAGUAGCUGUGUCUGUGCUUCCCCUUUUGUUCGGCUCUGUAACACUUGCUACUGAGUAUGGCCCCCGCUCUCUGCAUGUCCCACUGCCCCCCAGCCCUUUACUUGGCUCCCUUACCUUGGUGUCCAACUCUCCUUCCGGGCACAACAGCACCGAUUCAUUUUCAUUUUCUCUCUCUCUCCCUCUCUGUCA
Non-coding RNA from Chrysemys picta bellii (western painted turtle), 4461 nucleotides. Lineage: Eukaryota; Metazoa; Chordata; Testudines; Emydidae. The record is from RefSeq and is a predicted model, not a curated record.